AUGAUGUGGCAGCUACCAUGCAGUCGAGCGGUAACAUAUAGUACUUGCUACUUUGCUGACGAGCGGCGGACGGGUGAGUAGUGUUUGAGAACGUGCCUUGAGGUGGGGGACAACAUUUGAAAACCACUGCUAAUACCGCAUAGUGUCUACAGACCAAGGGGGGCUUCGGCUCUCCCCUUUAUAUUGCCCCAAGUGAGAUUAUCUAUGUGGAGAGGUAGUGGCUCCCCAGGGCCACUAUCCCUAUGUGGUUUGAGAGGAUGAUCACCCACUCUGGGACUGACACACGGCCCACACUCCUACGGGAGGCAGCAGUGGGGAAUAUUGCACAGUGGGCGCAAGCCUGAUGCACCCGUGCCGCGUGUGUGAAAAAGGCCUUCGGGUUGUAAAGCUCUUUCACUCGAGAAGAAAGGUUAAUAUUUAAUACCUGCUAUCUGAGACUUUACUGACAAAAAAAACCCCGGCUAACUCCGUGCCAACACCCGCGGUAAUACAGAGGGUGCGAGCGUUAAUCAAAAUUACUGGGCGUAAAGCGUACGCACGCGGUUUGUUAAGCGAUAUGUGAAACCCCCGGUCUCAACCUGGAAACUGCAUUUCAAACUGGCAAACUAGAGUGUGAUAGAGGGUGGUAGAAUUUCGUGUGUAGCGGAGAUAUGCAUAGAUAUCUGAGAGAAUACCUAUGGAGAACGCACCCAUCUGUCUCAACUCUGACUCUCAUGUACGAGAGCGUGGAGAGCACACAAGAUUAUAUCCCCUUU
Molecule: ribosomal RNA, 755 nt
Filed under: Pseudoalteromonas sp.
Lineage: Bacteria; Pseudomonadati; Pseudomonadota; Gammaproteobacteria; Alteromonadales; Pseudoalteromonadaceae
Description: bacterial SSU rRNA
Rfam family: Bacterial small subunit ribosomal RNA
Source: RNAcentral